ACGGGUGAGUAAAGCCUAGGAAUCUGCCUGGUAGUGGGGGAUAACGUUCGGAAACGGACGCUAAUACCGCAUACGUCCUACGGGAGAAAGCAGGGGACCUUCGGGCCUUGCGCUAUCAGAUGAGCCUAGGUCGGAUUAGCUAGUUGGUGAGGUAAUGGCUCACCAAGGCGACGAUCCGUAACUGGUCUGAGAGGAUGAUCAGUCACACUGGAACUGAGACACGGUCCAGACUCCUACGGGAGGCAGCAGUGGGGAAUAUUGGACAAUGGGCGAAAGCCUGAUCCAGCCAAGCCGCGUGUGUGAAGAAGGUCUUCGGAUUGUAAAGCACUUUAAGUUGGGAGGAAGGGCAGUUACCUAAUACGUGAUUGUUUUGACGUUACCGACAGAAUAAGCACCGGCUAACUCUGUGCCAGCAGCCGCGGUAAUACAGAGGGUGCAAGCGUUAAUCGGAAUUACUGGGCGUAAAGCGCGCGUAGGUGGUUUGUUAAGUUGGAUGUGAAAUCCCCGGGCUCAACCUGGGAACUGCAUUCAAAACUGACUGACUAGAGUGUGGUAGAGGGUGGUGGAAUUUCCUGUGUAGCGGUG
This 585-nucleotide ribosomal RNA is filed under the name uncultured Pseudomonas sp. Its description in RNAcentral is "bacterial SSU rRNA". It matches the Rfam family "Bacterial small subunit ribosomal RNA", at positions 102 to 683 of the family's 1533-position model. Lineage: Bacteria; Pseudomonadati; Pseudomonadota; Gammaproteobacteria; Pseudomonadales; Pseudomonadaceae. The record is from RNAcentral.